RNAcentral lists this ribosomal RNA (250 nucleotides) under uncultured bacterium. RNAcentral's name for it is "partial 16S ribosomal RNA". It matches the Rfam family "Bacterial small subunit ribosomal RNA", at positions 505 to 754 of the family's 1533-position model. The record is from RNAcentral.
GUGCCAGCCGCCGCGGUAAAACGUAGGAGGCUAGCGUUAUCCGGAUUUAUUGGGCGUAAAGCGCGUGCAGGCGGUUUGAUAAGUUGGAUGUGAAAUCUCCCGGCUUAACUGGGAGCGGUCGUUCAAAACUAUCAGACUAGAGAUUGGGAGAGGGAGGUGGAAUUCCGGGUGUAGUGGUGAAAUGCGUAGAUAUCCGGAGGAACACCAGUGGCGAAAGCGGCCUCCUAGACCAAUUCUGACGCUAAGACGC